RNAcentral lists this ribosomal RNA (203 nucleotides) under unidentified eubacterium 203R6. RNAcentral describes it as "partial 16S ribosomal RNA". The record is from RNAcentral.
ACGCGGGAUUUNCCUUACUGAGGAUACCUUGUUACGACUUAGCCCCAGUCACUAGUUUUACCCUAGGCGGCUCCUUACGGUUACCGACUUUAGGUACACCCAGCUUCCAUGGUUUGACGGGCGGUGUGUGCAAGGUCCGGGAACGUNUUCACCGCAGCGUUGCUGAUCUACGAUUACUAGNGAUUCCAGCUUCAUNGAGUCGA